This 877-nucleotide ribosomal RNA is filed under the name uncultured Sphingobacteriia bacterium. RNAcentral's name for it is "bacterial SSU rRNA". It matches the Rfam family "Bacterial small subunit ribosomal RNA", at positions 58 to 933 of the family's 1533-position model. The record is from RNAcentral. Lineage: Bacteria; Pseudomonadati; Bacteroidota; Sphingobacteriia.
CAAGUCAAACGGUAACAGGGGUAGCAAUACCCGCUGACGAGUGGCGCACGGGUGCGUAACACGUAUGCAACCUACCUAUAACUGGGGAAUAGCCUUCCGAAAGGAAGAUUAACACCGCAUAACAUCAUUCUACGGCAUCGCAGAAUGAUCAAACCUCCGGGGGUUAUAGAUGGGCAUGCGUAACAUUAGCUAGUUGGUGAGGUAACGGCUCACCAAGGCUACGAUGUUUAGGGGGUCUGAGAGGAUGAUCCCCCACACUGGUACUGAGACACGGACCAGACUCCUACGGGAGGCAGCAGUAAGGAAUAUUGGACAAUGGGGGCAACCCUGAUCCAGCCAUGCCGCGUGAAGGAUGACGGCCCUCUGGGUUGUAAACUUCUUUUGUACGGGAAUAAACCCCUCUACGUGUAGAGGGUUGAAUGUACCGUAAGAAUAAGGAUCGGCUAACUUCGUGCCAGCAGCCGCGGUAAUACGAAGGAUCCAAGCGUUAUCCGGAUUUAUUGGGUUUAAAGGGUGCGUAGGCGGGCUAUUAAGUCAGUGGUGAAAGCCCCAAGCUUAACUUGGGAAUUGCCAUUGAUACUGAUGGUCUUGAGUACACUUGAAGUGGGCGGAAUGUGUCAUGUAGCGGUGAAAUGCUUAGAUAUGACACAGAACACCUAUUGCGAAGGCAGCUCACUAAAUUGUAACUGACGCUGAGGCACGAAAGCGUGGGGAUCAAACAGGAUUAGAUACCCUGGUAGUCCACGCCCUAAACGAUGAUUACUCGAUGUGUGCAAUACACCGUACGCGUCUGAGCGAAAGCAUUAAGUAAUCCACCUGGGGAGUACGACCGCAAGGUUGAAACUCAAAGGAAUUGACGGGGGCCCGCACAAGCGGA